RNAcentral lists this long non-coding RNA (222 nucleotides) under Elaeis guineensis (African oil palm). RNAcentral's name for it is "long non-coding RNA (EGUI_LNC019570)". The record is from RNAcentral. Lineage: Eukaryota; Viridiplantae; Streptophyta; Magnoliopsida; Arecales; Arecaceae.
CCCCUCGAUACCGCGAUGCCCUAGUCUCUCACAUCAAGAUAAGAAUUAACUUCGAAUGUAUUGCACAUCAUUACAUGAUCCAUAUUAUUUUUUGUUAUAUGGAUAAUUCUUUAUUAUAUGAAUAAUUUUAUAUAUUUGCUUUCUGUUAUGAUGAAUGUUCAUAUGUAUAGGAUAAUAUUGACUUCGAGGAUUUCACCGACGAACAAGUGACUGCAUGUAUUC